RNAcentral lists this non-coding RNA (206 nucleotides) under Paenibacillus sp. RNAcentral also lists the same sequence under 1 other name. The record is from RNAcentral. Lineage: Bacteria; Bacillati; Bacillota; Bacilli; Caryophanales; Paenibacillaceae.
UUGACAAUAUCGGAGACAGGUGCUUGCCGGAAAUUAGUAAUUCGGUAGGCUUAAUAGGGAAAUUCGGUUUGAAGCCGAUGCGGUCCCGCCACUGUAACGGAAGAGUCCAUAGCAACAUAUGUCACUGGCAAUUUACUACUGCUGGGAAGACUGCUAAGGAUGCUGACACCGCUAGCCAGGAGACCUGCCUGUUUCAACAGCACUGC